CAGCAGCCGCGGGAAUACGAAGGGGGCUAGCGUUGUUCGGAUUUACCGGGCGUAAAGGGCGCGUAGGCGGACUGAUAAGUCAGGGGUGAAAUCCCAAGGCUCAACCUUGGAACUGCCUUUGAUACUGUUUGUCUUGAGUUCGAGAGAGGUAAGUGGAACUGCGAGUGUAGAGGUGAAAUUCGUAGAUAUUCGCAAGAACACCAGUGGCGAAGGCGGCUUACUGGCUCGAAACUGACGCUGAGGCGCGAAAGCGUGGGGAGCAAACAGGAUUAGAUACCCCCGUAGUCCCUGUCUCUUAUAC
Molecule: ribosomal RNA, 301 nt
Filed under: uncultured bacterium
Lineage: Bacteria
Description: partial 16S ribosomal RNA
Rfam family: Bacterial small subunit ribosomal RNA
Source: RNAcentral